Molecule: ribosomal RNA, 253 nt
Filed under: uncultured bacterium
Lineage: Bacteria
Description: partial 16S ribosomal RNA
Rfam family: Bacterial small subunit ribosomal RNA
Source: RNAcentral
UACGUAGGGGGCAAGCGUUACCCGGAUUCACUGGGCGUAAAGCGCGUGUAGGCGGCUGGCCAAGCGUGACGUGAAAUCUCCGGGCUCAACCCGGAAACUGCGUUGCGAACUGGCCUGGCUGGAGUGCAGGAGAGGGAUGCGGAAUUCACGGUGUAGCGGUGAAAUGCGUAGAUAUCGUGAGGAACACCAGUGGCGAAGGCGGCAUCCUGGCCUGUAACUGACGCUGAGACGCGAAAGCGUGGGGAGCGAACCG